UCAUCGAGAAGACAAAUCUUUAUGACUAAUGAAAUGUUUGUCUGUAGUUUGGAUUCAAUGCAAAUGCAGUUGUUCAUGUGCGUAACAGCGAAUGGCCCCGCUGUUGCGUGUGUGGUGAGCUACAAUCCGAAUCAAUUCUACUGUAAACAUUUUAUUGAUGUGGCUCCUCACGUUGGAUGGAAGGAUGGGUAAUAUUGACAGCAGUAUUUAGUCGGAGAUAUAGUGACAUGGCAAUACUUAUGUGAAUGUAACGAAUACUGGACAAAGUGUACCAUAACUUUGGUGUGGGUUUGUUGAUAAACAGCAAUGCUAGUUGGAAUGCAAUGAUGCGCCGUGGUGAUGUGGAAAAAAAUGAUAAACUAUGCAAUGUUGAACGUCUGAAAGUCACAAAAUGUAGGUUUUGGAUUGCACUUGGAUAUGACUCGCGUUCGUAAAAUAGAAGUCAUUCAGAAAGGAGAUACGGGAAAUAUGAUGUACACAUUGGUGUUACCAACAUUGUGGUAUUCAAGUCUACGAUACGUGAAGAGUGUUACCCGAGAAGAAAACAAGAGCAGAUGAGUUGUCAACUAUUCAGACACAGAAAGAGGUGAGCGCUAAAGUACAGUCAUUAAAUUGGAAUGGAAAACAUUGCAACUCACGGACUUUCUCUUGUCAUCAGUUGCGUCGAUCUCAAGAAAGAAGUCGAUAACGUUAAAACUAAGACCGAGUCGAAUAACUUGGUUUUAUCUGAAGUACCGAAAAUGAAUGGAUUAUUGGAAGGUCAAUUAUUAACGAUAGUCGAAUUAAUGAAACGGAUCGAUCAAAAGUUUAGCAGUAUGCAAACAGAAAUCGGCAGCUUAAGAAGGGAAAUGCACGAAAUGAAGCAAAACAAUAACUUGAUUUGACUGUAUUUCGGACUUUCAUGCAUACACCAACAUUAUUUACACGAUUCAAAGGCAAUUUUGAGCACAAACGUAUGUUCCUCAACACCUAUAUAAAGCAUUAAUUCGUAUAAUAUCGUCAUUUUCAAUGUAAUUAUUUCCACAUUAACGCCGGUACAUGCACUUAUUACAAAGACAAUUCUAUCUUAAUUUUUAACAUAGCUAUGUUUAAUAAAUUUGAAUUUCCUUUUAAGGAUUUUUGGUUUUUAUAUAAAUGAAUAAAGUAAAUCACAUUU
Xenia sp. Carnegie-2017 is the source of this 1156-nucleotide long non-coding RNA. RefSeq lists it as uncharacterized. The transcript has 3 exons. NCBI's taxonomy places the organism in Eukaryota, Metazoa, Cnidaria, Anthozoa, Malacalcyonacea, Xeniidae. The record is from RefSeq and is a predicted model, not a curated record.